RNAcentral lists this small nucleolar RNA (77 nucleotides) under Sciurus vulgaris (Eurasian red squirrel). RNAcentral describes it as "Small nucleolar RNA U3 (ENSSVLG00005024205.1)". It matches the Rfam family "Small nucleolar RNA U3", at positions 1 to 76 of the family's 219-position model. From Rfam's summary of the family: Small nucleolar RNAs (snoRNAs) are involved in the processing and modification of rRNA in the nucleolus. The record is from Rfam by way of RNAcentral. Lineage: Eukaryota; Metazoa; Chordata; Mammalia; Rodentia; Sciuridae.
UAGACUAUACUUUCAGGGAUCAUUUCUAUAGUUCGUUACUAGAAAUAGCAAGACAUUAUGCUUUCUCUUAUUUUAAA